Molecule: ribosomal RNA, 440 nt
Filed under: uncultured bacterium
Lineage: Bacteria
Description: partial 16S ribosomal RNA
Rfam family: Bacterial small subunit ribosomal RNA
Source: RNAcentral
ACUACGGGGGGCAGCAGUGGGGAAUAUUGGACAAUGGGGGAAACCCUGAUCCAGCGCCGCCGCUUGCGUUCCUCCUUCUUUCUUUCCUUCCCUCUCUCUCCUCCUUAAAGAAAAUGACGGUACCUGACUAAGAAGCCCCGGCUAACUACGUGCCAGCAGCCGCGGUAAUACGUAGGGGGCAAGCGUUAUCCGGAUUUACUGGGUGUAAAGGGAGCGUAGACGGCAGCGCAAGUCUGGAGUGAAAUGCCGGGGCCCAACCCCGGAACUGCUCUGGAAACUGUGAAGCUGGAGUGCAGGAGAGGUAAGCGGAAUUCCUGGUGGAGCGGUGAAAUGCGUAGAUAUCAGGAGGAACACCGGCGGCGAAGGCGGCUUACUGGACUGUAACUGACGUUGAGGCUCGAAGGCGUGGGGAGCAAACAGGAUUAGAUACCAUUGUAGUC